This is a long non-coding RNA of Castor canadensis (American beaver), 2888 nucleotides long. RefSeq lists it as uncharacterized. The record is from RefSeq and is a predicted model, not a curated record. NCBI's taxonomy places the organism in Eukaryota, Metazoa, Chordata, Mammalia, Rodentia, Castoridae.
AACAUUGUAUACACAUAUGAAUAAAAGAAAUUAAAAAAAAAAACAAACCUGUAUCUCAAAUUAACCCAAGAAGGACCUGACCCACUUCUUUGGAUCCCUGAGGAGAUAAAAGUCAGUGAGCUAAAACGGGCCCUCACUACAGCCCCUGUACUGGCCUUACCCUCCCUGGAAGAACCCUUCCACCUUUUUGUAAAUGUGAAUAAAGGGAUUGCUUUGGGAGUACUGACCCAAAAAACUGAGACCCUAUAGCCUUUUUGUCCAACUUUUUAGAUCCUGUCUAAAGGAUCUUAAUGGCCAGAGUGCACCCAAUCAGUGGCAGCUACAGCCUUCCGGCUGAAGAGAGCAAAAAAAUUACCUUUGGGGGAAGCAAUCAUUAGUACUCGCUCCCCCAAGUUCAGGCAAUCCUGAACCAAAAGGCAGGGAGGUGGAUAACUGACUCUAGGAUCCUAAAGUAUGAGGCUAUCUUUUUUGUUGUUGUUGUUUAUUUAUUUAUUUUUUAAUCAUACCUAGUUAUAUAUGGUAGGAGGCUAUCUUAUUUGAGAAAGAUGACUUAACCUUGACCACAGACAAGGCCCUAAAUCCAGCUGCCUUCUUGUCAGGAAAACAAGAGGGAGAAAUACCAAACCACAAAUGUCUAGAUAUCAUUGAAUACCAGACAAAAGUUAGGCCAGACCUCAGAGACACCCCAUUUCAAACUGGACAUCAUCUCUUUGUAUAUGGUUUUUCUAGAGUGACUGAAGGUAAAAAGCAUAAUGGGUUUUCUGUCAUAGAUGGAGAAGCCCUAACUAUAGUAGAAUCAGGCCAGCUGGCCAACAUGCAAGUUAUUUGCUUUAAAUCAAGCUCUAAAGCACUUCAAAGAUAAAGAAGAGACUAUCUACACUCACUCUAAACAUGCAUUUAGGGUGUCCAUCCCUUUAGAAAAAUCUGGAUGGAGAGAGGCUUAAUAAAUAGUAGAGGUCAGGACCUGGUCCAUGAGGAGCUGAUCCAACAGAUCCUAGAGAAUCUAAAGCUCCCUGAGAAAAUAGCUGUGGGCCAUGUCCCAGGACAUCAAAGGGGAAGGGAUUUUGAGGCUCAAGGAAACUUUAUGGCAGAUGAAAUGGCAGAACAGGUUGCUGUUGGGGACUAGGCACAGACCCUGGACUGAGAAGUUUGCAAAGCUCUCCUAAGAAGAGAUUGCACAGCUCUCACAUUCUUCCCAGCACCUGGUGUUUUCACCUACGUUCCUGCAUUUCCUUUGAAGAAAACAACUUGCUGUGUCCCUAUACUAGCUCCCCGAUGCCAAACUAGAUACAUUACCAGACUGUUCUGAGAUUCCCUGAUGCCAGAUUAAUCAAUAACUAUAGAUAAAUUGUCCUGUGUGCUCUGACGAUUUCCAGACCAGAUGUUUUGUAGUUAAGCUUCAAUAAGCCUGAGGAAAAGAGCCCACCAGAUCCCAUUCCUUUUACCUUAGAUCAAAAGAAUUGCUAACAUAUGUAAGCUUGAUUUUCACUUGAUUCACUCCCUUGUGCUGACCUAUAAAAUAAACCUAAGCUGACCCUGGCUUAGGUCGGGCACUCACGUAUCCUACCAGGAACAUGCCGUCCUCCCGAUCCCAGCUGUGUGUCUUUAUGUCUGUGUGUCUUUGUUUCUCAUUCCCCAUCGCUCCCAGUCAGGUUCAGCAGCUUAGCCAUGCAGGCCCUGGCAAGUGGUGCCUGAACAGGGACCUGACUACAGGGGGACUCGUCGGAUAAGGCGAGGGAACUCUCUCCGAAGGACCAUCCACAAGGAAAACAAGGUGAGUCUUUAAUUCCAACAUCAUGGAAUCAGGAAUCGAAGAAAGCAAAAGACACCCGCUCACACCAAGCCAGCCAGGAGUUGAAACUGGAAUCAUCUGUUCUGUAGUCAGACACAUUAUCUAUUGCACCACUGGCCUUGCUUUGUGGCGGAUGCGUUUUCAUAAGAACUAAGGUGAUUACGCGGCUCCUCCUGGCAAUGCUGCGAUUGGGGCCAACCCUGCGAUGCCGGCAAGUCUCGCUGUGUGGACUCCUGGCCGCUUCUGCACACACCCCAUUAUCCCUAUUUAUUUCUAGGUAUGUUUCUGUCCCGUGUCCCCCCACCCCUGCAAAAAAAGAAACAUGGCUGUAAGAGGCAAAUCCUGCAUCCUCUCUGCCCCAACAUUACCUCUUCAUUCAGAGCUUGCAUUCACUCAACCAAAACUACUGCUCAAGGCACAGGAGAUAAGAACACUCUCAAGAAAAUAAUAUGGUGAUAAAGCACCAAAUAAAUAAAAUAACAUGGAGAUAAAACUUGGAAGAAGAAAAUAAUAAAACAGAGAAAGGGGAUUUGGAAAUGGGAAGUUGUCGCAAGGUGACCUGAUCUGACUUUUUUUUUGUCUUUCCGUAGGGCAUUAAAAAAAAAAAAAAGUGUUUCCCAAAUAUUUCCUAAGCAAGACCACCUUAGGCGUGCUCAGUGUGCUGCUCUUACAAUAGGACCUGUUUCUCAGGGUCUGAUACCUUCAAAGGUACUAACUAAGCUACUUGGCGAACUGCCCCUGGCGAGCUCGAGUGGAAGCGCGGGAUGCGAGCGGGCGGCAGAGAGGCGUCUCGCGUGCGGACAUUGACGCCCCGGAGUCCGGCAGACGGCGGCCACGGUGAGCCUUCCCAGCGCCCCGCAGCCCGGGAGCACGAGGCGCUGAACCCAACAUUGCCGGGAUGCCUUGCUUAGAUUUACACUCGCUCCCGGGAGGCUUUUGGCUUAUACCAAUUUAUUGCUGGAAUUGGACGCUCGCUUAUCUCCUCCCUCGCCCUUCCCCGUGGGUUCUAUUUUCGGGUGUUUACCCUAGCAAAGGGCCUAAGGUGACAGGAUGGUCCUGCUUCUUGAUCUUAGUUUGUGGAGAUGUACCUGAGGAU